UUACACUUAAAUAAUUCAGCAGAGAUCUCAGGCCAUAGUAGAAUGUGUCUAGAAUCAGCCCUCCUGGUAAACAUCUUUUUAUUUUUCUCUUCUCCUCUCAUUUUAUUCAAUAUGCUUCUUUCUUUUUUCCCGUAACCACAAGGUAAUGUAGAUGAAAACAGAGUGCGUAAUGUAUUAAAGAGAAAUAACUUUACACAGAGAGCUAUAGCCAAGUCCCCCGAAACCAGACAGGCUACCCAAGAAUAGCUAAAAGAGCACACUCACCUGUGUGGCAAAAUAGUGAGAAGAUUCAUGAGUAGCGGUGACAAGGCUACCGAGAGCCUGGUGAUAGCUGGUUGUCCAAGAUGGAAUCUUAAUUCAAAUUUAAACUUACCCACAGAAUUACUAAAUCUUCCUGUAACCCUGCAUUAAAAAUUUUGGUUGGGGUGAACUUGGAGCAUAAUUCAACCUCCGAACAACCUAAACUAAGACCUCACUAGUCUAAGCGAGUUAAUACACGUUGACUCAAUAAUUUGAUCAAUAGAAUAAGUUACCCUAGGGAUAACAACACAAUCCUAUUCUAGGUCCAUAUCGACAAUAAGGUUUACAACCUCAAUGUUGGAUCAGGACGUCCUAAUGGUGUAGCCGCUAAUAAGGGUUCGUUUGUUCAAUGAUCAAAGUCCUACAUGAUCUGAGUUCAGACCGGAGUAAUCCAGGUCAGUUUCUAU
Molecule: long non-coding RNA, 707 nt
Filed under: Homo sapiens (human)
Lineage: Eukaryota; Metazoa; Chordata; Mammalia; Primates; Hominidae
Description: non-protein coding lnc-FLRT2-11:2
Rfam family: Bacterial large subunit ribosomal RNA (bases 371-707)
Source: RNAcentral